This is a non-coding RNA of Miniopterus natalensis, 468 nucleotides long. Lineage: Eukaryota; Metazoa; Chordata; Mammalia; Chiroptera; Miniopteridae. The record is from RefSeq and is a predicted model, not a curated record.
GAGCCUCCUUAGCUGCCUUCCCGCGGUGCCCGCACCGACACCAUCUGUCAACUUCACUUAGACUUUGCAGCCCUCGGCGCACCAGGCUGCCAGACGCCCAAAGUUGGAGGGCUCUCAGAAAAGAUCUGAGCCUGAAGAACUUUCCAUCUGUAAAUCAGCUACACAAUACAGUGAAGUGGAAUUACUGUGCGUUUCAUGGACGUAGGGUUCUAACCAAGGGCAGAGGAUGUGGGUGCAGACGCGAGCGAGGUCGUGUGACUGCCUGCGGGAGACGUUCUAACAGCAGCACGUGUGCAGUCGCCGUGAUGCGAAGAUAGUAAGUACUCUGAGGGUCUUGACUUUAUGACACUGCACUCCUGUGGCCUUUGUAACUAGGAAAUAGUUUGGAAGCCAAGCUUUGAUUGAUGUCUGGACUUUGGAUGUGCCCGUAGUGUAAGUAACACCUAUUAAAAUAUUUUUCCUGGCCUA